This 403-nucleotide ribosomal RNA is filed under the name bacterium. RNAcentral describes it as "partial 16S ribosomal RNA". It matches the Rfam family "Bacterial small subunit ribosomal RNA", at positions 355 to 776 of the family's 1533-position model. The record is from RNAcentral.
UGGGGAAUAUUGCACAAUGGAGGGAACUCUGAUGCAGCGACGCCGCGUGAACGAAGAAGGCUUUCGAUUCGUAAAGUUCUUUUAUAUGGGAAGAUAAUGACGGUACCAUAAGAAAAAGCCCCGGCUAACUACGUGCCAGCAGCCGCCGUAAUACGUAGGGGGCUAGCGUUGUCCGGAAUCACUGGGGGGAAAGGGUUCCGAGGCGGUAAUGCAAGUCAGGUGUAAAAGGCAGUAGCUUAACUACUGUAAGCAUUUGAAACUGCAUAUCUUGGGAAGAGUAGAGAGAGGUGGAAUUUUUAGUGUAGAGGUGAAAUGCGUAGAUAUUAAAAAGAAUACCGGUGGCGAAGGCGGCUUACUGGGCUCAUUCUGACGCUGAGGAACGAAAGCGUGGGUAGCAAACAGG